Molecule: long non-coding RNA, 560 nt
Filed under: Manacus vitellinus (golden-collared manakin)
Lineage: Eukaryota; Metazoa; Chordata; Aves; Passeriformes; Pipridae
Description: lncRNA (ENSMVIG00005014860.1)
Source: RNAcentral
ACCGCCGCCAUCUUGAGAAGGUGCGGUCGCCAUCUUGGGAAGGCUCUGCCGCCAUCUUGGGGCAGCGCCGUGGCCCCGCCCCGAGGUGUGCUCCUGCCCCUGCGACCCGGCCUGGAAAAGCUCCAUCACCUCCUGCCCCUCGUCCCAGAGCCUCAGAGACGUCAGGGACCCCGGUGCCUCAGCGAUAAAAGGCCACGAAAAUAGGAAGUGCACAGAACAACACCAUUUUUCACAUGAAUAAAUGGAAAUAAUCUUUGCAGCCAUGGAUGCUUCUUAAUAUUACUUGAAAGUAAAGUCUCACACAAGGCUUCUAGUCUAUAAAGAAGCAAUUCUGCACCACGUCUCUUGGCAGUUGUCGGUGGCACAGACACACCCACAGCUCAGGUCACAACACGGGAAGAGGAGGAGGAGGAGGAGGAAGAGAGAGAAAGACAGAACUAAAAACCCUUGAAGGAUGGCUCUCCAAAAUUCCUGGCGGAACCACGGGGAAUCCCUGGGAGCGCGGGAGCAGAGCUACUUUCUGGAUUUAUCCUGAACAAGAAGUGGAAUUACUGAAUUAA